UACGUAGGGGGCAAGCGUUGUCCGGAUUCAUUGGGCGUAAAGAGCGUGUAGGCGGCCAGGUAGGUCGGUUGUGAAAACUGGAGGCUCAACCUUCAGAGGUCGACCGAAACCAUCUGGCUAGAGUCCGGGAGAGGAGAGUGGAAUUCCUGGUGUAGCGGUGAAAUGCGUAGAGAUCAGGAAGAACACCGGUGGCGAAAGCGUUCUGCUAGACCUGUACUGACACUGAGGGACGAAAGCUAGGGGAGCGAAUGGG
RNAcentral lists this ribosomal RNA (253 nucleotides) under uncultured bacterium. RNAcentral describes it as "partial 16S ribosomal RNA". It matches the Rfam family "Bacterial small subunit ribosomal RNA", at positions 524 to 776 of the family's 1533-position model. The record is from RNAcentral.